Molecule: ribosomal RNA, 427 nt
Filed under: uncultured bacterium
Lineage: Bacteria
Description: partial 16S ribosomal RNA
Rfam family: Bacterial small subunit ribosomal RNA
Source: RNAcentral
UGGGGAAUAUUGCACAAUGGGCGCAAGCCUGAUGCAGCCAUGCCGCGUGUGUGAAGAAGGCCUUCGGGUUGUAAAGCACUUUCAGCGAGGAGGAAGGGUGGUGUGUUAAUAGCACAUUGCAUUGACGUUACUCGCAGAAGAAGCACCGGCUAACUCCGUGCCAGCAGCCGCGGUAAUACGGAGGGUGCAAGCGUUAAUCGGAAUUACUGGGCGUAAAGCGCACGCAGGCGGUUUGUUAAGUCAGAUGUGAAAUCCCCGCGCUUAACGUGGGAACUGCAUUUGAAACUGGCAAGCUAGAGUCUUGUAGAGGGGGGUAGAAUUCCAUGUGUAGCGGUGAAAUGCGUAGAGAUCUGGAGGAAUACCGGUGGCGAAGGCGGCCCCCUGGACAAAGACUGACGCUCAGGUGCGAAAGCGUGGGGAGCAAACA